This 503-nucleotide ribosomal RNA is filed under the name uncultured bacterium. RNAcentral describes it as "partial 16S ribosomal RNA". It matches the Rfam family "Bacterial small subunit ribosomal RNA", at positions 30 to 523 of the family's 1533-position model. The record is from RNAcentral.
AUUGAACGCUGGCGGCAGGCUUAACACAUGCAAGUCGAGCGGGGUGAUGGUGCUUGCACUAUCACUUAGCGGCGGACGGGUGAGUAAUGCUUAGGAUUCUGCCUACUAGUGGGGGACAACAUCUCGAAAGGGAUGCUAAUACCGCAUACGUCCUACGGGAGAAAGCAGGGGAUCACUUGUGACCUUGCGCUAAUAGAUGAGCCUAAGUCGGAUUAGCUAGUUGGUGGGGUAAAGGCCUACCAAGGCGACGAUCUGUAGCGGGUCUGAGAGGAUGAUCCGCCACACUGGGACUGAGACACGGCACAGACUCCUACGGGAGGCAGCAGUGGGGAAUAUUGGACAAUGGGGGGAACCCUGAUCCAGCCAUGCCGCGUGUGUGAAGAAGGCCUUAUGGUUGUAAAGCACUUUAAGCGAGGAGGAGGCUCUUUUGGUUAAUACCCAAGAUGAGUGGACGUUACUCGCAGAAUAAGCACCGGCUAACUCUGUGCCAGCAGCCGCCGUAA